UACGUAGGGUGCGAGCGUUAAUCGGAUUUACUGGGCGUAAAGCGCGCGUAGGCGGUGCGGUAAGUCAGGGGUUAAAGGCUGCAGCUCAACUGCAGUAAGGCCUUUGAUACUAUCGCGCUAGAGUACCAGAGAGGAUGGCGGAAUUCCCGGUGUAGCGGUGAAAUGCGUAGAUAUCGGGAGGAACGCCGGUGGCGAAGGCGGCUUCCUGGCCCGUUACUGACGCUGAGGCACGAAAGCCAGGGGAGCGAACCGG
Molecule: ribosomal RNA, 253 nt
Filed under: uncultured microorganism
Description: partial 16S ribosomal RNA
Rfam family: Bacterial small subunit ribosomal RNA
Source: RNAcentral